GUCAGUAGAAACGAAGUUUCUUCAGUUUUAAAUUUUUUAUAUUUCACAUUGGAUAAGAUAAAAAUUUGAUUGUAAAAGCUUAAAAGCCCGAGGACCUCCAAAUGGAAGCUGAACUGUUUUUCAAUUAAAAGAAAAGCUUUCGAUCGGGAUAGGGAAGGGGCCGCGGAAAAUAUUCAACCCAGCUCAGCUUGAUUUAAUUAGGGAAAUGAAUUCAAUGUUAAUACAGCAACUUAACUGAUUUAUGCGCUGGCCGUUGUCCCUGCCACUCGCCAUUUGCCAUUUGCAAUUUGCUCAAAUUAAUUUGGGUUUGCCCUUUUGCCACUCAGAUGUCCUGUCAUUUCAUUCACUGGCCACGUACGAGAUGUCCGUUCCUUGUUAAGGAGCAUAAAAUACGCAGGAAGCCGUCAAAUGCUGCAGAUACUUUGCCACAGAUGCAGAUAAAAAUACACAGAAUGCCGCACGGGGCUUAAGCCAAGUUCAUUAUGGGGUCUUGUCAAUGAAAUUGUAUUAUUCUAAU
Drosophila santomea is the source of this 517-nucleotide long non-coding RNA. RefSeq lists it as uncharacterized. NCBI's taxonomy places the organism in Eukaryota, Metazoa, Arthropoda, Insecta, Diptera, Drosophilidae. The record is from RefSeq and is a predicted model, not a curated record. The transcript is spliced from 3 exons.